GAUGAACGCUAGCGGCAGGCUUAACACAUGCAAGUCGAGGGGUAUUAGGGGCUUGCUCCUAAGAGACCGGCGCACGGGUGCGUAACGCGUAUGCAAUCUACCUUUUACAGGGGAAUAGCCCAGAGAAAUUUGGAUUAACGCCCCAUAGUAUAUUUGAAUGGCAUCAUUUGAUUAUUAAAGAUUUAUCGGUAAAAGAUGAG
Molecule: ribosomal RNA, 200 nt
Filed under: uncultured bacterium
Lineage: Bacteria
Description: partial 16S ribosomal RNA
Rfam family: Bacterial small subunit ribosomal RNA
Source: RNAcentral